RNAcentral lists this ribosomal RNA (1346 nucleotides) under uncultured bacterium. RNAcentral describes it as "bacterial SSU rRNA". It matches the Rfam family "Bacterial small subunit ribosomal RNA", at positions 28 to 1381 of the family's 1533-position model. The record is from RNAcentral.
GACGAACGCUUGCGGCGUGCUUAACACAUGCAAGUCGAACGGAAAGGCCCUGCUUUUGUGGGGUGCUCGAGUGGCGAACGGGUGAGUAACACGUGAGUAACCUGCCCUUGACUUUGGGAUAACUUCAGGAAACUGGGGCUAAUACCGGAUAGGAGCUCCUGCUGCAUGGUGGGGGUUGGAAAGUUUCGGCGGUUGGGGAUGGACUCGCGGCUUAUCAGCUUGUUGGUGGGGUAGUGGCUUACCAAGGCUUUGACGGGUAGCCGGCCUGAGAGGGUGACCGGCCACAUUGGGACUGAGAUACGGCCCAGACUCCUACGGGAGGCAGCAGUGGGGAAUAUUGCACAAUGGGCGGAAGCCUGAUGCAGCAACGCCGCGUGCGGGAUGACGGCCUUCGGGUUGUAAACCGCUUUCGCCUGUGACGAAGCGUGAGUGACGGUAAUGGGUAAAGAAGCACCGGCUAACUACGUGCCAGCAGCCGCGGUGAUACGUAGGGUGCGAGCGUUGUCCGGAUUUAUUGGGCGUAAAGGGCUCGUAGGUGGUUGAUCGCGUCGGAAGUGUAAUCUUGGGGCUUAACCCUGAGCGUGCUUUCGAUACGGGUUGACUUGAGGAAGGUAGGGGAGAAUGGAAUUCCUGGUGGAGCGGUGGAAUGCGCAGAUAUCAGGAGGAACACCAGUGGCGAAGGCGGUUCUCUGGGCCUUUCCUGACGCUGAGGAGCGAAAGCGUGGGGAGCGAACAGGCUUAGAUACCCUGGUAGUCCACGCUGUAAACGGUGGGUACUAGGUGUGGGGUCCAUUCCACGGGUUCCGUGCCGUAGCUAACGCUUUAAGUACCCCGCCUGGGGAGUACGGCCGCAAGGCUAAAACUCAAAGGAAUUGACGGGGCCCCGCACAAGCGGCGGAGCAUGCGGAUUAAUUCGAUGCAACGCGUAGAACCUUACCUGGGUUUGACAUGGAUCGGGAGUGCCCAGAGAUGGGUGUGCCUCUUUUGGGGUCGGUUCACAGGUGGUGCAUGGCUGUCGUCAGCUCGUGUCGUGAGAUGUUGGGUUAAGUCCCGCAACGAGCGCAACCCUUGUUCACUGUUGCCAGCACGUUAUGGUGGGGACUCAGUGGAGACCGCCGGGGUCAACUCGGAGGAAGGUGGGGAUGACGUCAAGUCAUCAUGCCCCUUAUGUCCAGGGCUUCACGCAUGCUACAAUGGCUGGUACAGAGAGUGGCGAGCCUGUGAGGGUGAGCGAAUCUCGGAAAGCCGGUCUCAGUUCGGAUUGGGGUCUGCAACUCGACCUCAUGAAGUCGGAGUCGCUAGUAAUCGCAGAUCAGCAACGCUGCGGUGAAUACGUUCCCGGGGCU